Molecule: transfer RNA, 68 nt
Filed under: Pressatia choti
Lineage: Eukaryota; Metazoa; Arthropoda; Insecta; Diptera; Psychodidae
Description: tRNA-Asn
Source: RNAcentral
UUAAUUGAAACCAAAUAGAGGUAUAUUACUGUUAAUAAUAUCAUUGAGACCUAUCUCCAAUUAAAAAG